RNAcentral lists this ribosomal RNA (453 nucleotides) under uncultured Cytophagales bacterium. RNAcentral describes it as "bacterial SSU rRNA". It matches the Rfam family "Bacterial small subunit ribosomal RNA", at positions 341 to 792 of the family's 1533-position model. The record is from RNAcentral. Lineage: Bacteria; Pseudomonadati; Bacteroidota; Sphingobacteriia; Sphingobacteriales.
ACGGGAGGCAGCAGUAGGGAAUAUUGGUCAAUGGAUGGAAGUCUGAACCAGCCAUGCCGCGUGCAGGAAGACGGCCUUCUGGGUUGUAAACUGCUUUUGCCAGGGGCUAAAAAGCUCAUGCGUGAGAAAUUGAAAGUACCUGGUGAAUAAGCCACGGCUAACUACGUGCCAGCAGCCGCGGUAAUACGUAGGUGGCAAGCGUUGUCCGGAUUUAUUGGGUUUAAAGGGUGCGUAGGCGGCUUUGUAAGUCAGUGGUGAAAUAUGGCAGCUCAACUGUCAGGGUGCCAAUGAUACUGCGGAGCUUGAGUACAGAUGAGGUAGGCGGAAUUGACGGUGUAGCGGUGAAAUGCUUAGAUAUCGUCAAGAACACCGAUAGCGAAGGCAGCUUACUAGGCUGUAACUGACGCUGAGGCACGAAAGUGUGGGGAUCAAACAGGAUUAGAUACCCUGGUA